AUGAUAGGUAAAUUAAGGACCUUGCAGUGUAUGAGUUUUGUUUCUGCUUUUGUCCCCAUAAUAGAGAAGCCUAAGCAAGAGUGUAUGGAACGGGGGCUCAAAGACUUUGAGGAUGCCAUAAAAAAAGUCCUGAGAGAGACAGAAGAAAGUGACCUUGACAAACUUGUCACAAACCUCAUACAAUUGGAGGGACAGAACUACAGUUUACUGAAGUUUGUGAACCAUCAGCACAAUGAAGCAGAGACCAUUCGAAAGCAGAUUUCACAGCUUUCCAAUGAGAUGGAGAUCUUUGCAGUAGAGCAGAAGCAGGAAGAGCACGAGGCUCUUCAGUUGAGAACUUCAACCAUGGAAGACGCUGCCCAACAACAGCUGGCAGCUUAUCAACAACGUGCUGGGAUCAUGGAGAAGAUCCUAGAGCAGCUCAUGGAGGGUAAAGGGGCAGGCAUCCCACAGUACACUAUGAUUUAG
RNAcentral lists this long non-coding RNA (468 nucleotides) under Mastacembelus armatus (zig-zag eel). RNAcentral's name for it is "lncRNA (ENSMAMG00000028002.1)". The record is from RNAcentral. Lineage: Eukaryota; Metazoa; Chordata; Actinopteri; Synbranchiformes; Mastacembelidae.